RNAcentral lists this ribosomal RNA (232 nucleotides) under uncultured bacterium. RNAcentral describes it as "partial 16S ribosomal RNA". It matches the Rfam family "Bacterial small subunit ribosomal RNA", at positions 103 to 334 of the family's 1533-position model. The record is from RNAcentral.
CGGGUGCGUAACACGUGAGCAACCUACCGAAAUGAGGGGGAGUAGCCGUCCCAACGGACGGGUAAUACCGCAUACGCUCUAGUUCAGGCAUUUGGAUUAGAGGAAACCUCCGGGGCAUUUCGAGGGGCUCGCGGCCUAUCAGCUAGUUGGUGAGGUAACGGCUCACCAAGGCGACGACGGGUAGCUGGUCUGAGAGGAUGGCCAGCCACAUUGGGACUGAGAUACGGCCCAG